CGCCAUGCCCCCACGCCGCCGCCUUCUCUCCGCACUGCAGCCCGUAUCGGCGUCUCCCACGCCUCCGUACAGUGUCCAACGGAGGGGAUCAGUGGUAAGAGUCAGUUACCUAUGUUGAAGAACUCAAACCUCGAGGAUGAUCUGAACGUUGUACAAUGGAGGGGAUCAGUGGAAGGAGAACCUGACAACUUGAAAAUCAAUCGUGAUGGUUUCUUUCAUGAAGAGAGUUGCAGUUUAUGCAGCUUGUGUUCUUUUCAAACAAGGUAAUGCACUUCACCAUAUUGAAUAAUUCUUAGGAUGCAAAUUACAUUCGAAAAGGCAUCUGGCAGUUGCUGUUGAAACAAAGGAUAGGAGCACACCGACACAAAUCCAAUCCUUAGAUGUUAGCUUUUCCUUUCUCAAAAAAUAAAAAGAUGUUAGCUCUUCCAUGUUUUCUGUAAUAGUAGCAUAGAUAAAAAGGCUGGCACGUUAAUGACAGAUCAUACUAAUGCUUAACAUAUAGACCUAUCAUGCAUAUAACCAUCUGUAAUUCCUUGAACAGCUGUUGAUCUAUGCUUUCUGAUACGUACUUUCUGAUUUGGUCCUAGCAAUUCCUUAUUAUGCAGCAAAUUAGAGUUCUAGAGGCACUUCUUUAUGUGUUCCAACUCUUUUGAAGUUACAAGGAUGGGUUGAUGGCUUGAUGCUACGAAUUGUUUGGGUCGACUCGGUCUUUCAUCGCCAUAAGACACAAACAAACUCAUAUUUAUAACAGGCUGAGUUAUUUUUAUUUUGGUUUUUAGAUAAUUUAGAAACAAAGUGGAUUCGAAAUUGUAAAUGAUUUUGCCUAUGCCACUAUAUUAGGAGCGGGCGGGGAAGACAAAAACUUGCUUGACUGCUUACCCCUUGGGUUUAUUUGUUACCCAUUUGUGAGUAUAUUUGCUGCGCCUUAUUUAAUCAUUUAUUAACAACAGUGCCCACUGGAUGAAAAAUUGACAACGUUUAGUUCUCUUUGUUUAUUGUCUUGGGAGUUGCUAGCAUUUAUAGUGAGUAUUGAGCAAGUUUCUUGCCCAGUGACACGAUUGUUUGAGAGAAGACACAAGAUUGAGUAUUCAAAGCUUUCAUGAUCUGGCCAUCCUUGUAAGAAAUAAUUUGUUAAAUCAAAGCACGAUUAUUUUAAUAAUACUUUGAC
Molecule: long non-coding RNA, 1168 nt
Organism: Lolium rigidum
Lineage: Eukaryota; Viridiplantae; Streptophyta; Magnoliopsida; Poales; Poaceae
Exons: 3
Source: RefSeq, a predicted model, not a curated record